Long non-coding RNA from Saccostrea cuccullata (small rock oyster), 680 nucleotides. RefSeq lists it as uncharacterized. The transcript has 3 exons. NCBI's taxonomy places the organism in Eukaryota, Metazoa, Mollusca, Bivalvia, Ostreida, Ostreidae. The record is from RefSeq and is a predicted model, not a curated record.
GAAGCAGAACUUCAGUGUCGAUACUCAAUACACAGAUUGUAACAGCUAUUAUCUACAGUUCAUUGUGGGAGACCCUCAAUGUGUCGUCAACAUUAAAUCUACAAUUAAUACAUGAAAGGAUUUUGAAGGUGUUCAAUGCUGAAAAUCAAAGUACUUCUGGUAUUUGUGCGUGCUGAUUGGUAAAGUUUCAUGAAGAGGAGUCUGGCAGAGACGAUGGCACUUUCUCAUCUAAGCUGAUCUAUAGCUAUGUAAGAAAUGAUGAAAAUAGAUUAAUUUAUGUUUUCUCCCAAAACCAGUGAUGGCAAACCUAGAGUGACUGGAACAUCUAAAGUUCUACAAAAUAUUGCCCCAAAGUUGUGUGAAUUUUUUGCUGCCACAUAAAUUUAUCAAUUGUAUCUAAACAAGUUUGUCUGUAUUAUGGAUCCGGCCAUCCUUAAAAAAUUUAUUUUUUGCGGUAACGCGCCUCAUCAUUUUAGGUGUGAGUAGGUAGGUAGGCUUUUUUUUUUUUGAGAUAAAAUGUCAGAAAUAAAUAACAUUGAUGUAGAGGUAUUAACUAUGUCUCAAUUUUCACCUUACUUAUCUAACAAGAAAAUUAAAGCAUUCUAAAUAUAUUCAAUCUUUUAUUGCUCAAAUAUCAGAACACAUCAGUUCUUUUUAGGCAAACUUUUCUAAGAAAGUGA